CAGUUUAUAGUUUAUUAAAAUAUUAAUUUUGGAUAUUAAAGAUGUAUUUACUAAACUGA
Molecule: transfer RNA, 59 nt
Filed under: Cyphonia clavata
Lineage: Eukaryota; Metazoa; Arthropoda; Insecta; Hemiptera; Membracidae
Description: tRNA-Pro
Source: RNAcentral